AGAGUUUGAUCCUGGCUCAGGAUGAACGCUAGCGACAGGCUUAACACAUGCAAGUCGAGGGGCAGCACGGGAGUAGCAAUACAACUGGUGGCGACCGGCGCACGGGUGAGUAACGCGUAUGCAACCUACCUAUCAGAGGGGAAUAACCCGGCGAAAGUCGGACUAAUACCGCAUAAAACAGGGGCACCGCAUGGUGAUAUUUGUUAAAGAAAUUCGCUGAUAGAUGGGCAUGCGUUCCAUUAGGUAGUUGGUGAGGUAACGGCUCACCAAGCCGACGAUGGAUAGGGGAACUGAGAGGUUGGUCCCCCACACUGGUACUGAGACACGGACCAGACUCCUACGGGAGGCAGCAGUGAGGAAUAUUGGUCAAUGGGCGGGAGCCUGAACCAGCCAAGUCGCGUGAAGGAAGAAGGAUCUAUGGUUCGUAAACUUCUUUUGCAGGGGAAUAAAGUGCAGGACGUGUCCUGUUUUGUAUGUACCCUGAGAAUAAGGAUCGGCUAACUCCGUGCCAGCAGCCGCGGUAAUACGGAGGAUCCGAGCGUUAUCCGGAUUUAUUGGGUUUAAAGGGUGCGUAGGUGGUUUGAUAAGUCAGUGGUGAAAGUUUGCAGCUUAACUGUAAAAAUGCCGUUGAAACUGUCGGACUUGAGUGUAAAUGAGGUAGGCGGAAUGCGUGGUGUAGCGGUGAAAUGCAUAGAUAUCACGCAGAACUCCGAUUGCGAAGGCAGCUUACUAAGCUACAACUGACACUGAAGCACGAAAGCGUGGGGAUCAAACAGGAUUAGAUACCCUGGUAGUCG
RNAcentral lists this ribosomal RNA (797 nucleotides) under uncultured bacterium. Its description in RNAcentral is "bacterial SSU rRNA". It matches the Rfam family "Bacterial small subunit ribosomal RNA", at positions 8 to 796 of the family's 1533-position model. The record is from RNAcentral.